GUGCGAGACCGAUAGCGAACAAGUACCGUGAGGGAAAGAUGAAAAGAACUUUGAAAAGAGAGUUAAAGAGUACCUGAAACUGCUGAAAGGGAAUCGAAUCGUUUCCAGUGUCUAUAAUCCGUAGCAUAUUUCAUUGGCGCGUGAAUGCGUACAGUAUUUUGGAAGUGGUUUUCCUCUCCUGGUGCUGUUGUGCGUUUUCUUGCUGGUGCCCUGUGUUGCGGUGGGACGUCAGAGUCAGUUCGUAUGCUGCGGGAAAUGGUUGUCAGGGAGGUAGGUCGCUUCGGUGGCUGUUAUAUCCUGGCAUACUAGUCGUCGUGGUUGGGACUGAGGUGCCUAC
This 337-nucleotide ribosomal RNA is filed under the name uncultured Oomycota. Its description in RNAcentral is "eukaryotic LSU rRNA". It matches the Rfam family "Eukaryotic large subunit ribosomal RNA", at positions 326 to 612 of the family's 3401-position model. The record is from RNAcentral. Lineage: Eukaryota; Oomycota.